CCCACUAAUAUCUUCCAACUUUCAAUAACUUCUGACAUCCACACUUCCCAACUUAAAUCUACACAAAUAAAAUUAGAAUGAGUAAAGCAAACAUAAAUAUAACUAUAAAAAUAAUAUAUCAAAUUCUUAUAGAUGAUACGUGCUAUUGAAAUGAGUAAACUAAACAUCACUCAAUCGCCAAUUGGUCCUUUGCUGCUUAUGCUUGUUGUGCUAGCAUUCCUCACAAAUUCUACAAAGAAAUAAAAUAGAUUUAUGAAAUCAGUAUUUGUAAUAUUAAACACUACAAAUAAAUUAUCAAAGUUAACAAAAUCAUGUUAUUACCUGCUUCAAUAACAUCAUAAAAUUCAGUUUUUUCCUCGGUUGGCUCCAUUAUG
Molecule: long non-coding RNA, 374 nt
Filed under: Citrus sinensis (sweet orange)
Lineage: Eukaryota; Viridiplantae; Streptophyta; Magnoliopsida; Sapindales; Rutaceae
Description: long non-coding RNA (CSIN_LNC003476)
Source: RNAcentral